Non-coding RNA from Cinara cedri, 497 nucleotides. The record is from the annotation of a GenBank genome assembly. Lineage: Eukaryota; Metazoa; Arthropoda; Insecta; Hemiptera; Aphididae.
AAGAAUUUACAUUCGUAUUUCCGCCAUUUUCAGUCGUAAUAAAAUCGAAUUUCACUAAAUAUAUACAAAUACAGAUAAUAUAUUUUACUAAACAUGUUAUGUUAAUAAUGUCUUUGAACAGUGAACAGCUGACGAAAAAUUAUAUUUAUAUGUAUAAUAGUGUACCCAUAAAAGAUUAUCUUAUAUUUUCAGGACAAUACUGAACCCCUUUUUUUUUAUUUCGUUAUUUAUUUACCUGGUGACAUGUUUUGUAUUAUAACAUCUUGUACGUUUAUUAAAACAUCAAAAGAUUUCACUUGGUAGUUAUAAAUAACCGAAUAGAUCUUAUCAAUGGUUCUGUACAUCACGUUCAUCAGAUAUUCAACAGUCGUAGAAAAAAUUAUGUACUUACACUUUGAACAGAGGAUUAUCCGUUGCUUUACAUAAUAAAUAAAUAACGAACAUUUAAAAUAUACCUACCUCUAUAUAAGUAUUAAAGUACCAGACAUUUGAGCGUU